RNAcentral lists this ribosomal RNA (253 nucleotides) under uncultured bacterium. RNAcentral's name for it is "partial 16S ribosomal RNA". It matches the Rfam family "Bacterial small subunit ribosomal RNA", at positions 524 to 776 of the family's 1533-position model. The record is from RNAcentral.
UACGGAGGGUGCAAGCGUUGUCCGGAUUUAUUGGGUUUAAAGGGUGCGUAGGCGGCCCGGUAAGUCAGUGGUGAAAGCCUCCAGCUCAACUGGAGAACUGCCAUUGAUACUGCCGGGCUUGAGUACAGACGAGGUUGGCGGAAUUGAUUGUGUAGCGGUGAAAUGCAUAGAUACAAUCAAGAACUCCGAUUGCGUAGGCAGCUAACUAGGCUGUAACUGACGCUGAGGCACGAAAGCGUGGGGAGCGAACGGG